CUUGUAUAUUAAGAAAGAAAUGGGGAAAUGGAAUCAAAACCCAGACGGCGACGGCCUCAGCAGAGCUCUGGAGCUUCAGGCCUCGAAGUUUCCACUUUCCAGGCUCCAAAGGCCAAGGUCCAAGGCUUGCUUGGAGAGGCUUCAUCGUUUUUAUAUAUACACUAGGGAUUGAAGGAAAGAGGGAACUUUAAUGGACCAGACCUCAGCAAGCGAUAUAAAUGUAGGUAAAAGUGAAAUGGAUGAAUAUGAAGAAAAAUCUUAUCAAGAGCUAAAGAAUGGAAACCAUAAAGUGGAAAUAUCUGAUGAGAAUUUUAGUUGCCCCUACUGCCCAAAUAAGAAAAAGCAAGGCUAUCUGUUCAAAGAGCUCCUCCAACAUGCUUCUGGGGUGGGACAUAGUACUUCAACAAAGAAAAAUGCCCAAGAAAAGGCCAAUCACUUGGCUUUGACAAAAUAUUUGGAAAAGGAUUUAGCUGCUGCUGCCAAUAAUCCAUCAAAAUCUAUGGAUGAAGACCAUCCCACUCUUCAUUGUGAUCGUGACGAGAAAUUUGUGUACCCUUGGACUGGGAUUGUGGUCAACCUUCCUACUAGACUAGGAAAUGAUGGGCGAUGUGUUGGAGAAAGUGGAUCCAAGUUGAGAGAUGAGUUGAAAACGAGAGGGUUUAAUCCCAUACGAGUUCAAACUCUAUGGAAUUACCGGGGUCACUCAGGAACUGCUGUUGUGGAAUUUAACAAAAACUGGCCUGGCUUACACAAUGCUUUGUCAUUUGAGAGGGCUUAUGAGGCAGAACAUCAUGGUAAAAAGGACUGGUAUUCCAAUAGUGAUACAAAAUCUGGUCUUUAUGCUUGGCUUGCUCGUGAAGAUGACUACAAUUUGACCAACAUUGUGGGAGAUCACCUACAGAAGAAUGCAGAUGUUAAAACCAUUUCUGAAAUUACUGGUGAUGAAGAGAGGAAGCAAAAUAAACUUGUAUCUAAUCUGACAAACCUCGUUGAGGUCAAGACUAUGCAUUUGAAGGAGAUGGAGCUCAAGUAUAGUGAAACUUUGAUUGCUUUUAACAAUUUAAUGGAAGAGAAAAACAAGCUUCAACAAGCUCAUAACGAAGAGAUUCAAAAAAUUCAAAUGAAUGCAAGGGAUCACCUCCAGAAGAUAUUUAAUGACCAUGAAAAAGUUAAACUGCAAUUGGAAGCUCAGAUGAUGGAGCUUGAGUUGCGGAGAAGAGAAUUGGAGAAGCGCGAGGCAAAGAAUGAAAGUGAAAGUAGUAGGCAGGCUGAAGAAAUUAAGAAGAAUGCCAUAAGGAAUAGUUCUCUUCAAUUGGCUGCUUUGGAGCAACAGAAGGCUGAUGAAAGCGUAAUGAAACUGGCAGAAGAUCAGAAGAAUGAAAAAGAAGAGCUUCGUAAUAGAAUAAUUGAACUGGAAAAGAAACUGGAUGCAAAGCAAGCACUUCAAUUGGAAAUUGAACAACUAAGAGGGACAUUAAAUGUUAUGGGGCACAUGGGAGAAGAUGGUGAUGAAGAAGUUCUGAAAAAGAUUAGUGCAAUAAACAAAGAGUUGAGAGCAAAGGAAGAAGAACUUGAAGUUGUAAUGGCUUUGAACCAAACACUAAUUAUGCAAGAGAGGAAGAGCAAUGAUGAGCUGCAGGAAGCUCGUAAAGAAUUGAUUAAUGUGUUUAAAGGACUAGUUAGUAGUGCUUUUAUUGGUGUUAAGCGAAUGGGAGAACUUGACAGUAAACCAUUCCAUGAAGCAGUGAAGAGAAAGUAUGAUGAGGAAGAGGCAGGAUAUAAGGCCUUGGAGCUAUGCUCAGUAUGGGACGAAUAUCUUAGAGACCCAAACUGGCAUCCUUUCAAAGUUAUAACGGUUGAAGGGAAAUCUAAGGAAUUUAUAGAUGAUGAAGAUGAGAAGCUGAAAGGUCUAAAGAAGGAAAUGGGUGAAGAAGUGUACAACGCUGUAACGACAGCCUUGAAGGAGAUCAAUGAAUAUAACCCAAGUGGAAGGUAUAUGGUGUCAGAACUGUGGAACUUUGUUGAAGGGAGAAAGGCUACUCUAAAGGAGGGAGUUGCAUACAUUCUGAAGCUUUGGAAAGCUAGGAAACGCAAGAGGCGUUAGGUUUGGAGGUUUGUAGUUUAUGUUCUUGUUAGGAGUAUUUCUCUCUCUGUAGGAAACAAGAUUUAAGGGCUUUGAAAAUGAAUCAUAUCAUGCGAAUAUAUAACAUUAAUAUUUCUGUGGGUUAGCAUGAGAAUGGGCUUCAAACCAAGGCACUUGGUGCUCCGCUAACUGCUGAGCAAAUAGCUCAUCGCUUAUCAGGUGCCAAGACAGAGUAUUGCUGUAGGAAACUGAAAGGCUUUGUAAAGACGGAGGGAAGGGGAUGAAGGGAUUCAUAGUUAGCAGACCUUUUAUGUAUGAAACGUGAUAGGAACAAGAGCAUCCAUUUUUGCUGGGAAACCUUUGAUUUGUCUUUUAUAGUCCUCGUUCAUUUACAAAAUAUAUGUCUAGUCUGACCCUCUUUGAAAGAAUGAAGCAAACAUUACAUGAUCGAUGGAGUUGGUACCUGGUAGGAGUAAUUAGCUUAGUUCAUGGAUAUGGAUCUAUUCAUGUUCCAAGUAUGUGAAACUUUACUUGUACUGAAUUUUUGAAGCACUACAGGCAAAUGUUGUGAAAA
RNA transcript from Ziziphus jujuba (common jujube), 2657 nucleotides. It is a transcript of the gene named protein INVOLVED IN DE NOVO 2, with no coding region annotated. The transcript is spliced from 9 exons. The record is from RefSeq and is a predicted model, not a curated record. NCBI's taxonomy places the organism in Eukaryota, Viridiplantae, Streptophyta, Magnoliopsida, Rosales, Rhamnaceae.